RNAcentral lists this ribosomal RNA (259 nucleotides) under uncultured bacterium. Its description in RNAcentral is "partial 16S ribosomal RNA". It matches the Rfam family "Bacterial small subunit ribosomal RNA", at positions 95 to 354 of the family's 1533-position model. The record is from RNAcentral.
UUGGCGGACGGGUGAGUAACGCGUGGAUAACCUGCCGUAUACCGGGGGAUAACACUUAGAAAUAGGUGCUAAUACCGCAUAAGCGCACGGCUCCGCAUGGGGCAGUGUGAAAAACUCCGGUGGUAUACGAUGGAUCCGCGUCUGAUUAGCUAGUUGGCGGGGUAACGGCCCACCAAGGCAGCGACCAGUAGCCGGCCUGAGAGGGUGGACGGCCACAUUGGGACUGAGACACGGCCCAAACUCCUACGGGAGGCAGCAG